GUGGUUCUCUCUGCGCGCCAAGAGGGCGAGUUAAGCUGAGGGAGUUGUGAGCUUAUUGAAAUAGUCUUGGUCCCGUGAGAGCAAUCUCCCCAUUAUGAUUAUCAUCUCCAGAUUCAAUGAGCAGCAUUGGAGAAACUGAACUAUGGUCUCCAAAGAACGGUAUGCGUUUACAGUACAACAGCAAGCCAGUAGGAGAGACAGUUUGGUGCCCUGAGACUUCUUGGAUCAUACAGCCUAAAAAUCUGAGCCGGGCACUGGAGUGCCUACACACAGAAGUCACUGAGACUCUGUGGAGCUAGAAGACGAAAGAUGUCUGGGUCCUGAACCACCGCACGGAGAAAAAAUGUCUUCCAUUUAGAAAAAUACAAGCAAACUUUCAGAAAAAUCGCAACAUUUUUGGAACUUGGUCUGUUCAAACUUUCUCACUGGGAUCAGUUUGGAACACCUACCAUACAUGAAAUGUGUUUUAGAAGAUGGAGGAGAAUUAGAGCUGGACCCUUCCCUCAGGGAGCCUUUGAUCAGGCAUAACAACAGACGUUACGUGAUGAGUGCACUGGGGACGAGGCAUAAGUCUUUGAGGACAGCUUCUGGGAGGAGCAGCCUUCGCACUUCCUGUUUGUGUCAUGUGAUCAUGCUACCCUCCACAUGAUCAGAAUUUUUUAAAAAGACAUCUACGCAGCGUCCUGGCACCUGAAGGCUGUGUUAGGUCAAUGAGAGGUAACCUCCACGAAGGCCACGUUACGAGUUACCAGGCCAAGCUCGCCGACGUACUGCCAGCCCAGCACCGGCGGCGUGUCUGAGGCGGGAACCCGGGGUGCCAGCUCCAGCCCCUGGAGGCCCAGGUGGGGCUCCUACGCGAGCAGGGUGCCCUCGGUGGGGAGGGGCUGGCGCGGCCAACGCCGGCCUCCCGUGAGGUGGGCGGCCCUGCCUGCUCCCAGCCACCCAUCUUCCCACUCACCUCCACAGAAGGUGGAGAGGCGGAUUUUUUUAAGAGAUGAAAAAGCCCAGUUUAUACAUGACAGCAAAAAACAAAACAAACAAAAAAACCUCCAACGAAAACCAAAGAAACAGACAAAUCUGAGAGUGACUAGGGGUGGCCUGAGUCUGCCCACACUUUCCUCUCUGUCCUUCGCCGGCCCCCAGACUUCUCUGAGGGUCUCAUGGAAGCUGGGGGACCCCUCUCCAGAAGAAGGCCCGGAAGUAUGACACCCAGAAUUCUGCCCAUAACAUCAGGGGGUUGCAGCUCCCCGAAUCUCAUCUGUCCCUUCCGAAACUCCAGAUGCAGACCUGGAAUCCUUUUGGGAAAGGAUCCCCAUUCGUGGCCUCUGAGCUUCGGCACCUCUGAAGAGGCCUUUUAAUAAAGAACCCUCCCUGUGUGACCGCAGGGAAGCUCCUGGCAUGUCAGAGCGGUUUUCCUCGUGUCGCUGCUGCAAUCCUCAAGAUUGCUUAUGUGGGUGAGAGGGAUGGGUGUCGGAAGCUUAGAAUGUUCCAGAAAUGUCACUGGCACACAGACUCGCCCAAGCGAGGCCCGUGAAGAUUUCCACAAGGACGUGACAGUCUCUGAAAGCAGCGUGGGCCAGGAUGUCACAAGACCGAGGUGGCCCUGCCAGUUCUCUGGCAGCUGGAGGAGCACAUUCUCGGACAGAAGCUCAGAAAACUCCCGGCUUGGGAGGCAGCGUGCUUUUCAGAACAUCUUAUGAGAUUCCAGAAGUGCUGAGAGAGAGUGCCUUGUCCUAAAAGAUGUCCCAGAUGUAUGGUAAAUUGUCAAAGGUUUUAUCUACCUGGGAGAGAAAAUGAGUCAGAAUCGCAGCAGAAACUCCGAAUUUUAAAAUAAAAUGUAAAGAAUGGAGCUUAGGACUCCCAGGUCUAGGAGCGCACUGUCAUCUUUCUCAGGGGCGUCUCCAAGGCCCCAGGCAAGAGCUCCCUGAAGACAAGGGUGCCCCGCACCCAAGGCUGCAGGGACCGCGUGCAGAGGGCAGGGGACAGCCCGGACGUGCGGGCGCCCGCAGGGGCUCUGAGCGCCUCCCACACUGUCACGCUGCAGGGAACGAAGGCGGCCACACAGGUCAACGUCCCAACACAGGGCCAGCACAGAAGAUGGACCCGUCUUAAAAGGGUGAGUUUUUCUUUUUCCUCAAUGAAUAGCAAGGUCCCCUCAAUUCUUGGUGACUGUUAGUUUCCUAUUCCAAGAUGGGGAUGAAAUCAAACACUCUCAAUAUGAACCAGAGUCCUCUGGUGGCACUUUGGGGUCUCUGGUUCCCAGCAGGAAGUCUUGGGUCUUUGGUCUGAGAUGCGGUAACCUCAGGGCUCUGGUCGGGCCAUCUCACCCCCUCCCCGUUACCAGCCCCACACACGUUCACGCUGACACAGGCAACAGGAAGGGAAGUUUGAGUGACCUACUUCAGGAGAAGGCCAGUCCCGGGAGGGACCCUGCACUGGAGAACUUGCUAGAGUCCACAAAAGACUGGUCUGAUUAUGGCCACCACAGGGAAUGAGCGAGGAGAAAAGAGAAACGAUGGCAUUAGUAAGCGGAAACAGGAUUCUCAAGCAGUUCCCGGGCCCGAGCAGAGCUGCCGAGCUGGACAGAGACCGGGGCUGCUCAGGCGGGUCCAGCAGAGGGGGUGCCGAGGGCAGACGGACACAGGCGGGCCCCGGGACGGAGUGUCUGGGUGUCUGGGCGGCCCGGGCGGGGUCCGGGGCUUACCUUGCAGGCUGUUCCCGUUGGUGCUGGUGCAGGUGGGAGGCGGGGAGGUCUGGGGUCUGACGACGGGCGCAAAAGCACUCUUCUGUUUCACGGCUGAGACCAUGUUGGCUGGUGAGAAGGAGAAGAUGCCGGAGGAGCUGCUGCAGUUGGAGGGGAGGCUUGUGGAGGAGGCCAUGGUGGGGCUGGAUGGCACGACUGAGAGGGGCAACGGGAAAGCAGAAGUGAGCGCCUCCCCUGGUGUCCUGAGACGAGGCCCCCCUUCUACCGCGAGCCCUCCCUGAACUCUGGGGGCCCCGUCUGCUGUAAUCGUUAGGAAUCUUCACCUUUUUCUCACCUACGUCACUGGCCAAGCCAGCUUAAGUUGGGGCCUAAUCCAGCCUUUCUACACCCGAGCAAGCCAAGCAAGCUGACUCAGAAGAUAGUUCAGUGACUUGCCCCGGGGCCAUAGCUGGAAGGCGGCAAGGCCGGGAACCAAACCCAGCUUCCCUGCAAAGCAAACAGAUCGCCACGGGAGAGGCCCCUCCCCGUGAGCACUCCAGAGGCCAAACUGCCCAUUAGGUGGCCUUCGCCUCGGCCUCCUGGCUUUGGAAAGUUAGGGAAGUGGGAAUCCAAUCGGUCACAGGCAGCAGUCGCCAUUGGGGCAUCAGGGGGAAGUGACCCCUGGUAACCAGCCCUCUGCGCUGCACAAUCCAAACACACUGAAUGCUUUAUGGAGCAGAAAACGCCGCGCCGCCACCCUCAGAAUUUUCACAAACAUUUUCUAAACUGUACUUUUAAAUGAGACCAGCAUUUUUAUACAUCUCAUAGGAUUUGUAAAUGUGAAAAUGCGCUCAAUAAUCACACCCAUUUAAAUUGCAAAACUCCUGCACUGGAGGUUUGAUUUUUAAAUAUUCGUAGACUUGAAAUCCUGCUGGUUCACUGAGGAAGGCAAUUAAUCUCAUUGGCAAAUGCGAUCAUUAUGUGUAUUUAGAGGUGGGGGACUGAAGGGGGGUGGUUAACAGAGGAAGGGGCGAAAUACAGUCAAGCAGUUCCAUUUGUUACAUUAUCAGUUAUCAGCCACCACACCAGAAAGUGUGUUCACCAGUGCAAUGUCUUAUUUUACUUUUGAUUCUGGUCGGAAUUUUUCAACAUGAGUGGUUGAUGAAUAAUUUAAAGAUUAUGGAGGUAAAAAUUCACAUCAGCUGGGCUUUGUGUUUAUUGUUUUAUUUGCAUUUAUGCAGAUAAAACCACCCCAUCUGAGAGCCUGUUUGAGAAUUUAAUACUAUAUUAGAGGGCACUGAGGAAAUCAAUUAAUGGAAAGGAAACGCUGGGAGUUUUGCAGCCUGACAGAUGCACUCUCAGGCUGAAGUCGCUGGGUGUCUGCACCAGCUUGGAAGACAGGGCAAGCCAAGCCCCGAAAUUGAAUUGCUACCCUGUAGCAAUUAGGUUAUUGAUUUAAUUAAGAAUGCCACCUUUUAAUUUGCAGGUCAUAAUUGAAACAUUUUCUGAUUGAGGAGAGGAGAGAACACUGAAAUGAUGGAUCUGUGAGAAACAAUCUUUUGAUAAAUCAAAGUUGACUCUUGGGCAGACAGACAUAAUGCAUGCAGCUUGCUGGGGGAGGGGGCGGGAAUCCUCGUAGUUCAGUGGACCCCUGAAAUAGGCACUGGAGGUUUUCAUUUAUCAGCCUAGCUGCUCUGGUCACAACUUGAGUUACUUUUCCCUCAGAAAUAGUAUCAUAACCAUAACCAGUGGGAUGGUAGGUUUCCAUAUAAAAGGUGGUCCGUCUGCAACUCACACAGAUCUGGUAAGUCAUUGGUUUUCCACCACUGCCACAUAGAUGCCUCAGCAUUCUGAUUUAGCUUGACUGGAAAGUGAGUGAAGCUUUGAAAGCUCCCCAUGUGCUUCUGACCAAAUUGAAGUUUCCUAGCCCCUGACCUCAGCCAAGCCAAGAUUUGCCUAAAAGCAGCUGCUUUAAUUGACCAAAGCACCACGAACUUCACAAGCCUUCCCACCAGUUUUUUCUAAAUUGUUUCCUUUCAGUUAUAACCUUUCAGUUAUAACUGUAUUAUAUUUUUUGCUCAAACCUAGAACACAUAGUUUAGAACACAUACAGUUCUCCCAGGUUAACUUAGUGGGAAUCUGCUAUUCCCUAGGAAGGACACGUGCUAACCUUCUGUCAGUGACCGCAUAGAUUACUUGGUUUUUAUGAUGUUUCGAAGGUUGCUCCCCAAACAAAAGCCACGGUCUCCACGCUUAGAGGGUGGGAGCAAAAUAUGAUCUAAAAGCUUGUCUGGGUUGGGAAGUGAUUAAUGUGGAUUCUUAUGACGAAGGAAAUGAAAAUGAGAAAUCUGGGUAAGUAACCACUGUUUUAACAAAAAAAGUGCUUGAAAUGGAGAGAACAAACUGAGAAUGCCAACAACAAAUAACUUAUUCUCAGAGGUUUAAAUAAAGUUCUGUUAGGGGUUUUGACUCAUGACACCUGCACGUUAUCACCGAGAGGAAGAAAGGGCUACUUUCUGGCCCAGGCAAUGAAGGUUUGACACAGGUGGGCGCCUCUUCCCCCCAGAAAAAAAAAAAAACCUUUCUCUUUUACCCCCGGAAAACCUUUACGCAAACCCUUAUUAAGACAUUUACAAACAACAUUUCCUGUAUAUCUGUGUUCUGUCUUGCUAAAUGCUUGAAAAAAAUAAAUUUUUUGACUUGUUCACUUUUGUUUUUUUUUUCCUUUGUACAUAUCAAACACAAAGGAGAAAAAAAUUCCACGCGUUAAAAAUAAUAAAGGAGGCAAAUUUCUAGAGGGAGAGACUUUCACUGGUAGCCUGGUGUCACUAUGCUGUACUCCCAGCACCACUGAGAGAGUUACCAUUCCAUC
Long non-coding RNA from Camelus dromedarius (Arabian camel), 5555 nucleotides. RefSeq lists it as uncharacterized. Lineage: Eukaryota; Metazoa; Chordata; Mammalia; Artiodactyla; Camelidae. The transcript is spliced from 12 exons. The record is from RefSeq and is a predicted model, not a curated record.